AUACGGAGGGUCCAAGCGUUAUCCGGAUUCAUUGGGUUUAAAGGGUCCGCAGGCGGGAAAAUAAGUCAGUGGUGAAAGCCUACAGCUCAACUGUGGAACUGCCAUUGAUACUGUUUUUCUUGAGUAUAGAUGAAGUGGGCGGAAUAUAUCAUGUAGCGGUGAAAUGCAUAGAUAUGAUAUAGAACACCGAUUGCGAAGGCAGCUCACUAAACUAUUACUGACGCUCAGGGACGAAAGCGUGGGGAGCGAACAGGAUUAGAAACCCGUGUAGUCC
This 274-nucleotide ribosomal RNA is filed under the name uncultured bacterium. Its description in RNAcentral is "partial 16S ribosomal RNA". It matches the Rfam family "Bacterial small subunit ribosomal RNA", at positions 523 to 796 of the family's 1533-position model. The record is from RNAcentral.